AGCAAGCAGACGUAUCAUGCAGCUAUGACUGCGAUACUAGAUCUGUUAAUUAAAAAUUCCGCCCCAUCAAUUGCGAUGGUAAGGUAGUGGCUUACCAUGGUUGCAACGGGUAACGGGGAAUCAGGGUUCGAUUCCGGAGAGGGAGCAUGAGAAACGGCUGCCAGAUCUAUGGAUUGCAGCAGGUGCGAAAAUUAUCCACUUUUGGCAUAAAGAGAUAGUGAUGAUAAAUAACGGAUCUGGGCAUUUGUUCAGAGAUCGUAAUGAAAUAAUCGUAAAAGCUUUAUUGAAAGCAAUUGGAGGGCAAGUCUGGUGCCAGCAGCCGCGGCAAUUCCAGUUCCAAUAGUGUAUACUAAAGUUGCUGCAGUUGAAAAGCUCGUAGUUGGAUCUCGGUUUGCUGGCGCACAAGGUGCGCAAGUAGGCCUGUGCUGUAGUUGAGUGCUACGGCUUUACCUUGAACAAAAUAGAGUGCUUAAGGCAAGCAUUCUGCUUGAAUAUCUCAGCAUGGAAUAAUAGAAAAAGACUUUCUAUUGGUUAGCCAGUGAAAGUAAUGAUUAACAGAGACAGACGGGGGCAUUCGUAUUGCACCGCUAGAGGUGAAAUUCGUAGACCGGUGCAGGACGAACUACAGCGAAAGCAUUUGCCAAGGAUGUUUUCAUUAAUCAAGAACGACAGUUGGAGUAUCGAAGUCGAUUAGAUCUCGUCGUAGUUCCAACUAUAAACGAUGCCAACUAGCACUCCGCUAAUAAUGUUUGUUACAUUAGCGGGUGGCUUCCGGGAAACCAAAGUCUUUGGGCUCCGGGGGAAGUAUGGUUGCAAAGCUGAAACUUAAAGGAAUUGACGGAAGGGCACCACCAGGAGUGGAGCCUGCGGCUCAAUUUGACUCAACACAGAAAAACUCACCCGGGCCCGAACACAGUAAGGAUUGACAGAUUGAUAGCUUUUUCUUGAUACUGUGGGUAGUGGUGCAUGGCCGUUGUUGGUUGGUGGAGUGAUCUGUCUGGUUAAUUCCGAUAACGAACGAGACUCAAGCCUGCUUAUAAGUUGGUCGAUUCUGGUCGAACAACUACUUAGAGGGAUCAGUGUAUAAAACACUUGAAAAUGAGCAAUAACAGGUCUGUGAUUGCCCUUAGACGUUCGGGGCUGCACGCGCGCUACAAUGAAGAAAGCAGUGGGUGACUUGCUUGAGAAGGCAAGCCAAACCUUAAAAUUUCUUCGUGGCAGGAAUCGAGGCUUGUAAUUAUUCCUCGUGCACAAGGAAUUCCUAGUAAUCGCAGGUCAUUAGCCUGCAAUGAUUACGUCCCUGCCCUUUGUACACCCCCGCCCGUCA
RNAcentral lists this ribosomal RNA (1327 nucleotides) under Dicyemennea sp. L8 DS-2016. Its description in RNAcentral is "SSU rRNA". It matches the Rfam family "Eukaryotic small subunit ribosomal RNA", at positions 249 to 1678 of the family's 1831-position model. The record is from RNAcentral. Lineage: Eukaryota; Metazoa; Dicyemida; Rhombozoa; Dicyemidae.